CCUACGGGCGGCAGCAGUGAGGAAUAUUGGUCAAUGGGCGCGAGCCUGAACCAGCCAAGUAGCAUGAAGGAUGACUGCCCUACGGGUUGUAAACUUCUUUUAUAAAGGAAUAAAGUGAGGCACGUGUGCCUUUUUGUAUGUACUUUAUGAAUAAGGAUAGGCUAACUCCGUGCCAGCAGCCGCCGUAAUACGGAGGAUCCGAGCUUUAUCCGGAUGUAUUGGGUUUAAAGGGAGCGUAGAUGGGUUGUUAAGUCAGUUGUGAAAGUUUGCGGCUCAACCGGAAAAUUGCAAUUGAGACUGGCAGUCUUGAGUACAGUUGAGGGAGGCGGAAUUCGUGGUGGAGCGGUGAAAUGCUUAGAUAUCACGAAGAACUCCGAUUGCGAAGGCAGCUUACUAAACUGCCACUGACAUUGAUGCUCGAAAGUGUGGGUAUCAAACAGGAUUAGAUACCCUUGUAGUC
Molecule: ribosomal RNA, 460 nt
Filed under: uncultured bacterium
Lineage: Bacteria
Description: partial 16S ribosomal RNA
Rfam family: Bacterial small subunit ribosomal RNA
Source: RNAcentral